UCAUUAUUCAUAACGACUCUCGGCAACGGAUAUCUCGGCUCUCGCAUCGAUGAAGAACGUAGCGAAAUGCGAUACUUGGUGUGAAUUGCAGAAUCCCGUGAACCAUCGAGUCUUUGAACGCAAGUUGCGCCCGAAGCCCUUAGGCCGAGGGCACGCCUGCCUGGGUGUCACG
RNAcentral lists this ribosomal RNA (172 nucleotides) under Tina striata subsp. multifoliolata. RNAcentral describes it as "5.8S ribosomal RNA". It matches the Rfam family "5.8S ribosomal RNA". From Rfam's summary of the family: 5.8S ribosomal RNA (5.8S rRNA) is a component of the large subunit of the eukaryotic ribosome. It is transcribed by RNA polymerase I as part of the 45S precursor that also contains 18S and 28S rRNA. Functionally, it is thought that 5.8S rRNA may be involved in ribosome translocation. Lineage: Eukaryota; Viridiplantae; Streptophyta; Magnoliopsida; Sapindales; Sapindaceae. The record is from RNAcentral.